Molecule: unclassified non-coding RNA, 253 nt
Filed under: uncultured Gammaproteobacteria bacterium
Lineage: Bacteria; Pseudomonadati; Pseudomonadota; Gammaproteobacteria
Description: contains 16S-23S intergenic spacer region
Rfam family: Bacterial small subunit ribosomal RNA
Source: RNAcentral
UACGGAGGGUGCGAGCGUUAAUCGGAAUUACUGGGCGUAAAGGGUGCGUAGGCGGUUAUUCGUGUCAUAUGUGAAAGUCCUGGGCUUAACCUGGGUUGGACGUGUGAAACUGGAUGACUAGAGUAUGGGAGAGGACAGUGGAAUUUCCGGUGUAGCGGUGAAAUGCGUAGAUAUCGGAAGGAACAUCGGUGGCGAAGGCGACUGUCUGGCCUGAUACUGACGCUGAGGCACGAAAGCGUGGGUAGCGAACAGG